GUGCUCGCUUUGGAAGCAUAAAUACUAAAAUGGGAAUGGUACAAAGAUUAGCACGGCCCCUGCACACAGAUUACACACAAAUCCAUGAAGCGUUCCACAUUUUU
Molecule: small nuclear RNA, 104 nt
Organism: Ailuropoda melanoleuca (giant panda)
Lineage: Eukaryota; Metazoa; Chordata; Mammalia; Carnivora; Ursidae
Source: Ensembl